CCCUGGUGACAUAGGGUCACAUCCUGUUACUCGAGCAGGCAGGUCCUGGGUAGAUCCCAGGGAGGUGGGUUGGUAAAGGAUAAAGAGCUCCUGGGUGGUCAGCAGCUGGCUGCAGUUUCCCAGGAAACAGCUUCUGGCAGACACUCAAUCUCCAGUUGUAACAGGUGGUGUGGAGUCCGCUGGCCCAGAAAGUGGGCUGAAGGCCUAGUCCUGCCAAUGAACUUGCUGUAUAAACUUUUCUGUCUAUCAAAUGAGAGACGGAGUUUUGCCAUGUUGCCCGAGCUGGUCUCCAACUCCUGGGCUCAAGUGAUCCUCCCACCUCGACCUCCCAAACUGCUGGGAUUACAGGUUUGAGCUACUGCACCCAGCCUAUUCUCACUUUCUAUAUGGCUUCAGGCAUCUUGGAGGGAGGCCAUCACCUCAGAGGUGGAGAAAUGUCAAGCUAGUUGAAUAACAGACACCAAAGAUUUUGAGGAGUGCAGAGCGAAGAGCCUUGGGCUGAGAGCUUGAGUCCUGACUGUUUCAGUGAGACCAGCAAGUACCUUCUCUCUCCAGCUUCUCCAUUUCCACUUCUGCAAACUCUGGACUCUAAGGACCCAAGAUGGCUGGAAACAAGAUGGCGGAGCACGAAGGCCCUUGCCAGAUGCCAGCACUAUGCCCUUGGACUCCCCAGCCUCCAUAACCAUGAGCCAAAUAAAAUUCUAUUGUUUUAAAUUGCCCAGUCUGUGGUAUUCUGUUAUAGCAGCACAAAAUAGACCAAAACGAUGCUCUACACUGGCUGGCAGAGUUCACUGAUGGGAUUGUGCUC
Rhinopithecus roxellana (golden snub-nosed monkey) is the source of this 808-nucleotide long non-coding RNA. RefSeq lists it as uncharacterized. The transcript is spliced from 4 exons. The record is from RefSeq and is a predicted model, not a curated record. NCBI's taxonomy places the organism in Eukaryota, Metazoa, Chordata, Mammalia, Primates, Cercopithecidae.